UGCGCCAACUCUUCCUGUUCGUUCUUCAUCACCAUCAUUCAAUUCGUAUUCGUUCUUCAGAAUAUCAACAGGCAAUUCAGCAAUCAUGACACAUUCGACCGAUCAGAAUAUUAUUUCUGCGAAUUUGCUAAUUCAUGAGACCGCUCAACGACCGGGAGAACAACAUCAUGAUACGAACGAUCAUCUUGAUGCUCGAGCCAAUUUGUUAGUUCCUCGGAGUAAUGAUCAAGCAGUAGAUCGUCAUGAAGAGGGUACCCGUAUGUCAGAGACGAUCGAUCAGCCCAAC
Molecule: long non-coding RNA, 286 nt
Organism: Helianthus annuus (common sunflower)
Lineage: Eukaryota; Viridiplantae; Streptophyta; Magnoliopsida; Asterales; Asteraceae
Exons: 3
Source: RefSeq, a predicted model, not a curated record